AGCAGCCGCGGUAAUUCCAGCUCCAAUAGCGUAUAUUAAAGUUGUUGCAGUUAAAAAGCUCGUAGUUGAAUUUCGGGAUUGACGUGAUGGUCGUGCCUUAAGGGGUAUGAACUGUUGCAGUUGAUUUCUCACCUUCUGGAAAAACUUGAUGUCCUUUAUUGGGUGUCUUGCGGAUCCAGGACCUUUACCUUGAAAAAAUUAGAGUGUUUAAAGCAGGCAUUUUUGCUCGAAUACAUUAGCAUGGAAUAAUAGAAUAGGACGGCAUGGUUCUAUUUUGUUGGUUUCUAGGAUCACCGUAAUGAUUAAUAGGGAUAGUUGGGGGCAUUAGUAUUCAAUUGUCAGAGGUGAAAUUCUUGGAUUUAUUGAAGACUAACUACUGCGAAAGCAUUUGCCAAGGAUGUUUUCAUUAAUCAAGAACGAAGUUAGGGGAUCGAAGACGAUCAGAUACCGUCGUAGUCUUAACCAUAAACUAUGCCGACUAGGAAUCAGACGAUGUUAAUUUUUUAAUGACUCGUUUGGC
Molecule: ribosomal RNA, 520 nt
Filed under: uncultured Entrophospora
Lineage: Eukaryota; Fungi; Glomeromycota; Glomeromycetes; Entrophosporales; Entrophosporaceae
Description: SSU rRNA
Rfam family: Eukaryotic small subunit ribosomal RNA
Source: RNAcentral